Molecule: long non-coding RNA, 245 nt
Filed under: Oryza brachyantha (malo sina)
Lineage: Eukaryota; Viridiplantae; Streptophyta; Magnoliopsida; Poales; Poaceae
Description: long non-coding RNA (OBRA_LNC002747)
Source: RNAcentral
GCGCCCGACGCUGCAGACAUCCCGCCUCCCCUUAGCUACUCCUACUCCCACUCCUAGCUGCCACUACCACAGCUUCCACUGCACCACCACCACACCUCGCUGUGUGGUCGCGCGCCGCUUGUUUGCUUGUGCAAGUAGCAAACGAGGGGAGGUGAGGUCGGUCAUGUAGUGGUCGUCGGGGCCGCGCGGCGGCGUGUGUGUGGCGGAGAAGAAGCAAGCUAGGGCAGCGAGGCUCAGGCGCGGGG